This 1289-nucleotide ribosomal RNA is filed under the name Microbacterium sp. 91_47. RNAcentral's name for it is "bacterial SSU rRNA". It matches the Rfam family "Bacterial small subunit ribosomal RNA", at positions 103 to 1403 of the family's 1533-position model. Lineage: Bacteria; Bacillati; Actinomycetota; Actinomycetes; Micrococcales; Microbacteriaceae. The record is from RNAcentral.
CGGGUGAGUAACACGUGAGCAACCUGCCCCUGACUCUGGGAUAAGCGCUGGAAACGGCGUCUAAUACUGGAUACGAACCACGACCGCAUGGUCAGUGGUUGGAAAGAAUUUCGGUUGGGGAUGGGCUCGCGGCCUAUCAGCUUGUUGGUGAGGUAAUGGCUCACCAAGGCGUCGACGGGUAGCCGGCCUGAGAGGGUGACCGGCCACACUGGGACUGAGACACGGCCCAGACUCCUACGGGAGGCAGCAGUGGGGAAUAUUGCACAAUGGGCGCAAGCCUGAUGCAGCAACGCCGCGUGAGGGAUGACGGCCUUCGGGUUGUAAACCUCUUUUAGCAGGGAAGAAGCGAAAGUGACGGUACCUGCAGAAAAAGCGCCGGCUAACUACGUGCCAGCAGCCGCGGUAAUACGUAGGGCGCAAGCGUUAUCCGGAAUUAUUGGGCGUAAAGAGCUCGUAGGCGGUUUGUCGCGUCUGCUGUGAAAUCCGGAGGCUCAACCUCCGGCCUGCAGUGGGUACGGGCAGACUAGAGUGCGGUAGGGGAGAUUGGAAUUCCUGGUGUAGCGGUGGAAUGCGCAGAUAUCAGGAGGAACACCGAUGGCGAAGGCAGAUCUCUGGGCCGUAACUGACGCUGAGGAGCGAAAGGGUGGGGAGCAAACAGGCUUAGAUACCCUGGUAGUCCACCCCGUAAACGUUGGGAACUAGUUGUGGGGUCCAUUCCACGGAUUCCGUGACGCAGCUAACGCAUUAAGUUCCCCGCCUGGGGAGUACGGCCGCAAGGCUAAAACUCAAAGGAAUUGACGGGGACCCGCACAAGCGGCGGAGCAUGCGGAUUAAUUCGAUGCAACGCGAAGAACCUUACCAAGGCUUGACAUAUACGAGAACGGGCCAGAAAUGGUCAACUCUUUGGACACUCGUAAACAGGUGGUGCAUGGUUGUCGUCAGCUCGUGUCGUGAGAUGUUGGGUUAAGUCCCGCAACGAGCGCAACCCUCGUUCUAUGUUGCCAGCACGUAAUGGUGGGAACUCAUGGGAUACUGCCGGGGUCAACUCGGAGGAAGGUGGGGGAUGACGUCAAAUCAUCAUGCCCCUUAUGUCUUGGGCUUCACGCAUGCUACAAUGGCCGGUACAAAGGGCUGCAAUACCGCGAGGUGGAGCGAAUCCCAAAAAGCCGGUCCCAGUUCGGAUUGAGGUCUGCAACUCGACCUCAUGAAGUCGGAGUCGCUAGUAAUCGCAGAUCAGCAACGCUGCGGUGAAUACGUUCCCGGGUCUUGUACACACCGCCCGUCAAGUC